GUGCCAGCAGCCGCGGUAAUACGGAGGGUGCGAGCGUUAAUCGGAAUUACUGGGCGUAAAGCGCACGUAGGAGGCGAGAUCAGUCAGAUGUGAAAUCCCCGGGCUCAACCUGGGAAUUGCAUUUGAUACUGUCUUGCUAGAGUCUGGCAGAGGUAAGCGGAAUUCCGGGUGUAGCGGUGGAAUGCGUAGAUAUCCGGAAGAACACCAGUGGCGAAGGCGGCUUACUGGGCCAAGACUGACUCUGAGGUGCGAAAGCGUGGGGAGCGAACAGGAUUAGAUACCCUGGUAGUCCACGCCGUAAACGAUGUCAACUAGCCGUUGGACCCGUUUGAGGGUCAAGUGGUGCAGCUAACGCGAUAAGUUGACCGCCUGGGGAGUACGGCCGCAAGGUUGAAACUCAAAUAAAUUGACGG
This 413-nucleotide ribosomal RNA is filed under the name uncultured bacterium. Its description in RNAcentral is "bacterial SSU rRNA". It matches the Rfam family "Bacterial small subunit ribosomal RNA", at positions 505 to 916 of the family's 1533-position model. The record is from RNAcentral.